RNAcentral lists this ribosomal RNA (784 nucleotides) under Amanita fritillaria. Its description in RNAcentral is "partial large subunit ribosomal RNA". It matches the Rfam family "Eukaryotic large subunit ribosomal RNA", at positions 94 to 865 of the family's 3401-position model. The record is from RNAcentral. Lineage: Eukaryota; Fungi; Basidiomycota; Agaricomycetes; Agaricales; Amanitaceae.
UGAAGAGGGAAAAGCUCAAAUUUAAAAUCUGGCAGCAUUUUGUUGUCCGAGUUGUAACCUAGAGAAGUGUAACCUGUGCUGGACCGUGUAUAAGUUUCCUGGAAUGGAGCAUCACAGAGGGUGAGAAUCCCGUCUUUGACAUGGACUACCAGUGCAUUGUGGUUGUGCUCUCAACGAGUCGAGUUGUUUGGGAAUGCAGCUCUAAAUGGGUGGUAAAUUCCAUCUAAAGCUAAAUAUUGGCGAGAGACCGAUAGCGAACAAGUACCGUGAGGGAAAGAUGAAAAGAACUUUGGAAAGAGAGUUAAACAGUAUGUGAAAUUGUUGAAAGGGAAACGUUUGAAGUCAGUCGCGUUAGCUGGGGAUCAGCCUGACAUUGUUGGGUGCACUUCCUGGUUGACGGGCCAACAUCAGUUUUGACUGCCAGAAAAAGGCCGAGGGAAUGUGGCACCUUUGGGUGUGUUAUAGCCUUUGGUCAUAUAUGGUGGUUGGGACUGAGGAAUGCAGUGUGCCGAAAGGCCGGGUUUCGACCACGUUCACACUGAGGAUGUUGGCAUAAUGGCUUUAAGCGACCCGUCUUGAAACACGGACCAAGGAGUCUAACAUGCAUGCGAGUGUUUGGGUGGAAAACCCUUACGCGUAAUGAAAGUGAAAGUUGAGAUCCCUGUCAUGGGGAGCAUCGACGCCCGGACCAGAACUUUUGGGACGGAUCUGCGGUAGAGCACGUAUGUUGGGACCCGAAAGAUGGUGAACUAUGCCUGAAUAGGGUGAAGCCAGAGGAAACUCU